Rhipicephalus microplus (southern cattle tick) is the source of this 347-nucleotide long non-coding RNA. NCBI's taxonomy places the organism in Eukaryota, Metazoa, Arthropoda, Arachnida, Ixodida, Ixodidae. The record is from RefSeq and is a predicted model, not a curated record.
AUUUUCUGUCGGACUUUCCUCACUUAAUUAAGUGCCUGAGGAAUGGACUACUAAGGUCGGACUACGAAACACCUGAGGGCCGGGUAUCUUUACAAUUCGUACGCAAAGCUUUGGAACUGGAUGGUUGCAGUGUCACAUUGCAGGCAAUGCAUGGAAUCACCGGAAGCCACACGAACCCCAACAAUUUUGAAAAGAUGAGAGUAUCUUUAGCUUUUCAGCUUUUCGGAGAAAAAGUGAUUCAUGGUCUGCAGCUGUACAAGUCAGGAAUUGAAGAUACCUGUGGUGACAUCACAGCUACACUAAAGUUUUUCAAGAUCAUCCAUGACCUUGUGCAAAUGAUGACUUCA